RNAcentral lists this small RNA (117 nucleotides) under Firmicutes bacterium CAG:882. Its description in RNAcentral is "Clostridiales-1 RNA". It matches the Rfam family "Clostridiales-1 RNA". The record is from Rfam by way of RNAcentral. Lineage: Bacteria; Bacillati; Bacillota.
UAAUACUAUGGUAUAAUAAAUCCAUCGAUAGAUAUGAGCAAAACAGGGCAGUAGCCUGAUUUGCGAAUGCCUGUUGUGAGUUCGAGAGUUCGAAGAACGGAGAAAUCACAUUUAUUA